This 3005-nucleotide unclassified non-coding RNA is filed under the name Zea mays. Its description in RNAcentral is "misc RNA Zm00001eb260400". Lineage: Eukaryota; Viridiplantae; Streptophyta; Magnoliopsida; Poales; Poaceae. The record is from RNAcentral.
CUCGAACAGGGCCAGCCAGCUCAUCGACCACCGUCCCAACGCUACCAAGGCCUAGCCGCGACCGCGAACGCCAUUCCCGCCGCUCCCCCGUGCCCCGCCCGAACCGAGUCUACGCGAUGGGGAAGGAGGAGAAGGGAGCGAGGGCGGCGAAGAAGGGCACGAGCUCAGGCAAAGCCCCGCUCCUGCAGCCCAGGUAUUCUGUGCGCGGCGACGCGGCAGCAUCCCAGAAAACCGAUGUCGUCACUGACUACGCCGGCAGCAAAGAGUGCGAGGAUUUCCACUAUGAUACAAUGGAGAUGCACCAGUUCUUAGAAACUAUCGAGGGCUUGAAGGGCCACCCACAGUGCGUGGACUGCCGGCGUGAGGCCGUUGCUGGGAAUCCGGCUCUCCUAAACCCUCGCUUCGUGAUGUGCUCGGGCUGCAGCCAGUGUUUCUGCGCCGGACUGGCGAGCAAUGAGGAUGGACCAAUCGGGCAUGCGCAGCUCCAUGCCAAAUCAGCUUGCCAUCCAGUUGCGCUGUGGAUAGACCAACCCGAUGCUGCUUACUGCUUCCAGUGUGCCCACAGCUUGAGCCUCAAGGUGAUCGCCUUAGCAGCGCGUUCCCAUAACCAUGGCUAUGCUGUCAGAGGGAUGCCGAACUUCAGAGCCAAAUGCUACGUCAAUGCACUGGUGCAGUGCCUCCUUGCGCUUGACGAUCUGUGGAUGUCGAUGCUAGGACCUCGUGCUCCAGCAGGGCCCCUCGGUGUUGCGCUGAAGGAGCUCUUUUUGGAGACGAGGUCUGGGAAUGAUGCAGGAGCAUUUCUGAACACACGGAGACUCAUGGAAAGUAUAUGCCUAUUGGAUGCGGGGUACAGGACCACUGAUCACCAAGACUGCCAAGAACUUCUGGUCCAUGUGCGCAAUGGGUUGAUCGAUGAGGAACGGAAGAAGAAGCUUCCUGAUGUGAGAAAGGAUGAUGUUCCCACAGUUGUCGAUUCCAUUUUCAAGGGCGAGGUGUCUGUUAUGUGGACCUGCAGUCGCUGCCUGAACACUGCAGGCAAGGACGAAGAAUUCUAUGAGCUCUCACUGCCAUUGCCACCUAGUAAGAAGCAUCCAAGCAGAAGUGUCCCAGCUAUAAAACAAUGCCGACGAAUUCAGAAGGAGGGUAAGCUUACAUGCUCCUGUACCUAAUCAACUUGUCUGCCAAAAAUUGGUUAACAGAUCUGCAUAUAUGGGGUGGCACCCCAGAGCAUAAGUCUAUUUAGGAACGAAUGGUAUAAACGGCUGUGUCAUAUGGAUGGUAACUGCUUUUGCUCAAUAUAAGGAAACAUUUCAUUUCUCAGAGACGAGUUUUGACUCUUGACCACUACCUAGUACCUAAAUUUUGGGAGUUGUUAAAGCACUACUUCUAUGCAUGUGUUGGAGAAAUGACAGUUCAGUAUGACCACAUAAAACAGUUGGGGAUGUUUGAGCAGUCUGAACUGGAGAAGCUGUUCUAUCGUAGUGUGGUAAUUUGGAUUGCCAUUCGAACAUAGCUUACCGGUGUUGAAUUCUUGUCUUUAUUUCACUCAACCUGGUCUGUUAGGUCAGCAGUUUCUCAGGCAUUCUCGGAGAAGUUACUUCUAAUGUGGAGGAUUGAGGUUCUGAAAAACUCGUAGAUGUUAACUUUUUUUCUGGAUGAAAAUUGUUGUUUUGCAGAAGAAAAGAAGGCAGCUGUCUCUCUCACAUCAGUUAAGCAGUGCAUUAAAUAUUAUUUUAGAAAAGUGAAGGUACAAAACCGCUGCGAAAUCUGUGAGAAGCCUAGCACCAGCCGAAGCAAAGAUGGUGGGCAGAUAGUGGCAAACAUCAAUUCGGGUGGACAUGCAUAUGUAACACUUUGUCUUAGCAAGCUGCCACCAGUAUUAACUAUUCAUGUGCUCAGAUUCAAUAUCAAUGAUAAGAGAGUGGGGCAUGUGAAGUUCGAGGAAAAUAUUGAUGUAGGAGAAUAUCUGGACCCCAGGUCUACAGACAAAGAUGAUGCCAGAUAUCGUCUAGUUGGUGUCAUUGAGCAUCUCGGGAGGACCGUAACGCCGGGGCACUUUGUCGCUUAUGUGAGAGGAAGCAGGAUUGUCAGUGAGAAGGAGCUGAGCAGCAGCUCUUCCUCUUGGUUUCAAGCAAAUGAUAUAAGAAUCAGAAAUAUCUCUCUAGAUGAUGUUCUCAAGCACGAGGCUUUCCUUCUUUUCUAUGAGAAGAUAAAAGCUUGAGACAUCUGUCGUAUUAUGCCAAAGUAAUCAGACGAGCAAUCACCUGGCAUUGGCAAGCAUGAUUUGGUUCGCUGAGGCAUUGCAGGGGCACCUGGUUGACGGCAGCUUCUAACCAGUUGGGGAAACUGUUGGCUGAUCUGCUGACUAUUUCUUUUUGCUCUUUUUAGGAACGAAUUAGGUCAUGCGGUAUUGUCCUAACAGAGUAGGAAACUGAUUGUACAUUCAUGCCAUGGCCUGGUUUUGUUGGAUGAUAAUUGAUCUUACAUGCUAGUGAUUCACAUUUUGCAACCACAUACAGAUGUUUCUUCAUUUUGAGACCUAGGUGUCGAUGAUUUUGGUUGGUUAUGGAAGUGGUUCCUUGUUUUGUGAAUGGUGGUUGACAAUGUUUUUUUGGUUGUGAGAUAUGUGAGAAGCCUAGUACCAGCCUAAGCAAAGAUGGUGGGCAGAUGGUGUGGUGUCGAGUAUUCAACAAAAGCACAUCAGUUGACAGGGGCCAAACUGAAUGUGACAAUAGCGGAAAAGUGGAUGAAAAGAGUGAUCUGUUGACUGCCCAUGUUACCCAAAAUGCCAGAACACUGAAUCAGGACAGGAUGAAGCAAGUAGAGCUGGAAAAAACUGCAAACCAAGUGGGAGAAGGCCAAAAUAAGCAGACAGAUAUGGGCGUAUCUGCACAUAAAGCAUGUUUUCUUAGCAAGCACCCAAGGAUCCAGUCAAGUGCGCCCAUACUAUCGUAGAGGCUCUAGUUCAUGUCCAUGUAUGUUCCAUGUUUUAGGGAAUUUUUUGG